This 1062-nucleotide ribosomal RNA is filed under the name uncultured bacterium. RNAcentral's name for it is "bacterial SSU rRNA". It matches the Rfam family "Bacterial small subunit ribosomal RNA", at positions 1 to 1022 of the family's 1533-position model. The record is from RNAcentral.
CCGAAUUCGUCGACACAGAGUUUGAUCCUGGCUCAGAAUCAACGCUGGCGGCGUGCCUCAGACAUGCAAGUCGAACGCGAAAGUCCCCUUCGGGGGGCAAGUAGAGUGGCGCACGGGUGAGUAACACGUAGGUAAUCUACCUUCGGAUGGGGAAUAACAAUCGGAAACGGUUGCUAAUACCGCAUAAUGCAGCGGCACCUAAUGGUGACAGUUGUUAAAGCGGGGGAUCGAAAGACCUCGCGUCUGAAGAGGAGCCUGCGGCGGAUUAGCUAGUUGGUAGGGUAACGGCUUACCAAGGCAACGAUCCGUAGCCGGCCUGAGAGGGCGGUCGGCCACACUGACACUGACAUACGGGUCAGACUCCUACGGGAGGCAGCAGUCGGGAAUUUUGGGCAAUGGGCGAAAGCCUGACCCAGCAACGCCGCGUGAAGGAUGAAAUCCCUCGGGAUGUAAACUUCGCAAGAACGGGAAGAAUAAGUCUGUGUAAAUAUCACAGACGAUGACGGUACCGUUUGUAAGCUCCGGCUAACUCCGUGCCAGCAGCCGCGGUAAUACGGGGGGAGCAAGCGUUGUUCGGAUUUACUGGGCGUAAAGGGCGCGUAGGCGGCCACCGCAAGUCAAUUGUGAAAUCUCCGGGCUUAACUCGGAAAGGUCAACUGAUACUGCGGGGCUAGAGUGCGGAAGGGGCAACUGGAAUUCUCGGUGUAGCGGUGAAAUGCGUAGAUAUCGAGAGGAACACCUGCGGCGAAGGCGGGUUGCUGGGCCGACACUGACGCUGAUGCGCGAAAGCCAGGGGAGCGAACGGGAUUAGAUACCCCGGUAGUCCUGGCCUUAAACGAUGAAUGCUUGGUGUCUGGGGUUAUAAAGUCCCCGGGUGCCGUCGCUAACGCUUUAAGCAUUCCGCCUGGGGAGUACGGUCGCAAGAACUGAACUCAAAGGGAUUUGACGGGGACCCGCACAAGCGGGUGGAGCAUGUUGGUUUAAUUCGACGGCAACGCGAAAAACCUUACCUGGGCCUAGAAUGCCUUCUGAACACCUCCCGAAAAUGGGAGCCCUUUCUGG